GGCGCAGGCGCUGCAAGCUGCGUGCGUUUUCUCAGCUAACUUAUUUAGCUUUGGCACUCCGAGUUCUUUUGCCUCCUCCCUCUUUUCUCUCCAGUGAAUCACAGAACGGUGGAUGGCCAAGGCAGAGGAGGCUUUGCCAGAGGGAGAGCUGCGUGCUGCUCGAGCCUGACGGGACUCCGGAGGAUCCCCCUGGGCUACCGUGUCCCAAGAGUGUCGCCUCCUGCCCAUCACCCCACGAGAGGGAAAGGACAGCGGCGCGAAUGAGGAAGAGUGAAGCGGGCACUUCUUUUCAUGGGUCUGUUGGUGAAGAGCCCCGUCUCCUAUCCCUAAAGUUGCGCGUGCAAACUUUUUCUAGCUUCUGGAGGGAGUGAGAGAGAAGGAGCAGGAGUAAAAACAAAAUGCGUAUGACACUCUUUCCUCUUUCCAACUUCCUUCUCAGGUUUUCCUUUACUAGUCCCGCCACCCCCAUCAUUUUCCUAUUCCUUUUGUCCCUACCUUUUUUUUUUUUUUUCCAGUAACGACAAAUUUUUAAGUUUUAUUUCCUCUCCCAAUAGCUGGCUUUUACAGCCUGAUUCUUCGUUACCUUUUCCCUAUGUGAAGAUACUGGAAUUGCCCACUCCCUCUUUUACCUUUCCCCCAAACUUACCCACAGGGUGUCUCCAGCCAAAAGCGUGGAGAGGAAGUGUUAUGCAUUUCUCCUUCAAGAACCGCGAAGCCAGUCUGCAUUCCUGCAUUAAAGAAGCCAGUGUUUCCCAUCCAGUAAUUCAGGGAGCUUCAUCAUUUUUUUCUUUCUUUCUUUUUUACUGUGUGGAGUAAAACCAUUGUAAAAACUUGU
Symphalangus syndactylus (siamang) is the source of this 835-nucleotide long non-coding RNA. RefSeq lists it as uncharacterized. Lineage: Eukaryota; Metazoa; Chordata; Mammalia; Primates; Hylobatidae. The record is from RefSeq and is a predicted model, not a curated record.